RNAcentral lists this ribosomal RNA (253 nucleotides) under uncultured bacterium. RNAcentral describes it as "partial 16S ribosomal RNA". It matches the Rfam family "Bacterial small subunit ribosomal RNA", at positions 524 to 776 of the family's 1533-position model. The record is from RNAcentral.
UACAGAGGGUGCAAGCGUUAAUCGGAAUUACUGGGCGUAAAGCGAGCGUAGUCGGUUAUUUAAGUCGGAUGUGAAAUCCCUGGGCUCAACCCAGGAAGUGCACUCGAAACUGGCGAGCUUGAGUACUGAAGAGGGUCGCGGAAUUCCCGGUGUAGAGGUGAAAUUCGUAGAUAUCGGGAGGAACACCAGUGGCGAAGGCGGCGACCUGGGCAGAUACUGACACUGAGGUGCGAAAGCGUGGGGAGCAAACAGG